CUUUUUAGGGCUGCACCUGCGGUACAUGGAGGUUCUCAGGUUGAAUCGGAGCUACAGCUGCUGGCCUGUACUGCAGCCACAGCAAUGUGGGAUCCGAGCCAAGUCUUUGACCUAAACCACAGCUCACGGCAACGCCAGAUCCCCAACCCAUCGAGCAAGGCCAGGGAUGGAACCUGAAACCUCAUGGAUCCUAGUUGGGUUCAUUAACUGCUGAGCCACAAAGGGAACUCCCUCAAACUUCUUAAUUUAUAUUUUUUAAUCUGCAAAAAAAUCAGCAACUAGCUAAGAGAGGAGAAAUCUUCCAGCCCACCCCACCCCUGCAUGGUAUCAGUCUUGGAAGACAAUAAAAAAUUUUUCUCCUCUGAAGGAUUAUCAAAUUGGAUGCCCAGCCCUGAGAAGCAGCAAGAUUUGGUUCUUUACUCUGCCUCUGAAGAGAGUCAGAGCUUCAGGCUUCAGGGAGGGACAAUCUCCAUCAAUGGUCAUCAUGUCCAGGGGCAGAUGGUGCUCAGAAUUAUAGGGAUGUUAGGAACCAAGCUGGAUUGACUUCAAAGUUACACCCUCAUUCAUGAGAAGGUGAGUUACCUAAAUUCAGAAAGAAGGGGCUUGAGUAAUGAUGAGAAAUCAAAGUGUAUCACAUGGGGACCAGCUGAUGAAGGCAGAGGCAGAGAAAAUGAGUGAGGAAAUGAAGCAAAAAGGUACAAAGAGAAACAGGGCUUGGUGCCCUUAAGAAAACACAGAUCAUCAAGCUCAAGCUGCAAUGCUGAACCAGCAGUAUGCAUUUGCUUGGGCAUCACUUGAUCUGGACAGGUGGAAAACUCAUUUCCUGUGCAGUCUGUUAAACACGAGGUAGGAAGCUGUGGCAUGUGAAAAUGCUUGUAUCUACAACAAUGUGCACACACACAGAAAAAUUCUUGACAAUCUAAAAUGGAGUUAGACUUUGACAGUGGGUGCACUGCAGGUGAAAGUAUGUCUCUUCUCCUUUGUAUUAGAGGCAGCCUGUGGGUAAAGUGACCCUCACUCCAGUUAGACUGGCCCUUCAGAACCUCAGCCUCUAUUUGCUAGAGCUCAGGAGUAGGGGGUGUGCCUGAAGAAUAAUGUCGAAUUAAGAGCAGUCUUCAAAAUAGAGAAGGAUUAUUAUUUGUUUUGAAGAAGUGCUAUUAACAUGCCAUGCUUUACCUAAAGUGCAAGAAAACUAUUUUGAUUUACCUGCAAAGUAAUGGUGUUAUGGCUGAUAGCAAGAUGAGCAUUUUAAUGACCUUAGAUUAAAAAAACAAAACCCAGAAAACUGCUAAGAGAAGCAACUUUUCUUACACAGGACUUUCUUUGUUUAAGCAUGUAUUUCUUGCUCAGCAAGAGUGACAGGGACUCCAGAUACCUGCUUUCUUAAUAAAGGUAGAUAUAAUUUGAGUGACUGAUAAAACCAAGAUAGGCUUCCAAUUGAAAUAGUUUGAAUUUCUAAUGUCUGGUAUUUAUCAUGAAAUAGAAGCAUGCUCUUAUUUUCAUAGUCAAGAGAAAUUCAAACAUCCUUCCCUAAUAAAAUUCUAAGCAUAGCAAACUUCUCUGCUCCAAGUGAAUCAGUAAAGCAUUUCUGUAUUGAGGUUCUCAACUCUUAAGGAGCAAUUUCCAGAGAAGCUCUGUCUCUUGGAAGCUGAACCCUGAAAGCAAGAACACCCCGAGAACACCCCGAAUAUUUCUGUUGGGGCAUUCUGUGUUAUUGAUGUUGGUUUUUUCCCCUUCAGAUUUCCUUUCUAUGAGCCUUGCCCCAAGAAGCCCCCUGGACUGGUAACUCUCUAAUCUGUCUGCAUCCUGGUUUGACUUAGGUGGAGGCACCAAGUGAUGAUGUAUAACCUUAAAAAAAAAAAAAAAAAAAAGGACAGGUUUGUGUUUGCAACUGUCAGCAAUGUUUUGGCUAUUUUGAGAAUGUAGGACAGGGUUAAGGAUUAGUACCAGCAUUCUCUUUUCUGUGUAUCAGAGCCGCUUAGCAGUAAUUAAUCAGGACAUUAGGUUUUGUGCUCUUGGUUCAGGUCAUUUGCCUAUGAGCUGCUCAAGCCUUUUACAAAGGCAUACUGCAUAUGUUUCUGGGUACCUUUUUGAGAGAAGAUUUAAAUUGGCCAGAUGAAUAAUACUUUGUUACAAGUGUUUUGCCCUAGGCAAAAAGGUUUUCUUCAUAUUAUCAUAGCCUGAAGCUGCAAUCCUCAAGCUUGAUGUGACUGGUGUUAUACUGUCACAUGGCAAUGAUGUAAGAACAGGCCUCUCUGUGUCAGACAAAUCUGGAUUUAGGGGAAUUAUAGCAGAUGUUGCAAAAUGGCAACAGUUUAGCAAGUUCCUUUUAUCCCACUGUUGGGAGGCAGGACUACUAAGUGUACCAGACAGAAAAGAAUGUUUUCUUUGAUCCUUUACACUCUAGGGUAGGGACUUCCCCCGUUAGAGAACAUCAUUAAUGAUAUAGUUAUACAGUCACUGAUGGUUCAGAAUGGAGAAUUAACGGUUGGCUUUUUUUUUUUUUUUUUUAAGUAUUUGUUUGAUUGAGCUUAGUAUUUUUGGUCAUUUACAUUACGUUAUAAGCAUCAGAAACCCUCUAAGUUUUUAUUCUUAUCAAAGAAAGCCUAAUUCAGUGGUAGAAACUGAGGAACAAUAACAAAAACUAACCUGCUCACAAAAUAUUUUAACUUUGGCAGCCCUAUUCACUCAAGGCUAUUAUGUAAAGCUAAAUUACAUGAGUUCUUAGAAAGAGAAAAAUAGGAUAUAUAGUAGUUGUUUUCAUUUUCACAUUCUAAUAAGUAUUAAUG
This 2789-nucleotide long non-coding RNA is filed under the name Sus scrofa (pig). RNAcentral describes it as "lncRNA (ENSSSCG00025073985.1, ENSSSCG00055001491.1)". The record is from RNAcentral. Lineage: Eukaryota; Metazoa; Chordata; Mammalia; Artiodactyla; Suidae.